RNAcentral lists this transfer RNA (72 nucleotides) under Ovis aries (sheep). It matches the Rfam family "tRNA". Rfam says of the family: Transfer RNA (tRNA) molecules are approximately 80 nucleotides in length. Their secondary structure includes four short double-helical elements and three loops (D, anti-codon, and T loops). The record is from Rfam by way of RNAcentral. Lineage: Eukaryota; Metazoa; Chordata; Mammalia; Artiodactyla; Bovidae.
UCCCUGGUAACUGUGACGGUAAAGAAUCUGCCUGCAAUGCAGAAGACCCAGGUUCAGUCCCUGGGUCGGGAG